This is a long non-coding RNA of Lates calcarifer (barramundi perch), 2536 nucleotides long. RefSeq lists it as uncharacterized. The record is from RefSeq and is a predicted model, not a curated record. The transcript is spliced from 3 exons. NCBI's taxonomy places the organism in Eukaryota, Metazoa, Chordata, Actinopteri, Centropomidae.
GGACUGGAGACUGGACACUCUCAGGGUGGAGCCUGGUGGAGUCCGAUGGUUGACACCAGGUCUGAGGAAGUAUUCCUGUCGACUCACAAUCGACACAAACACAGUGAACAGAAAACUCAAACUGUCUGACAACAACAGGAAGGUGACAGGAGUGAAGGAGGAUCAGUUAUAUCCUGAUCAUCCAGACAGAUUUGACUUCCAGCCUCAGCUGCUGUGUAGAACUGGUCUGACUGGUCGCUGUUACUGGGAGGUCGAGUGGAGAGGAGGAGUUGAAAUAUCAGUGAGUUACAGAGGAAUCAGAAGGAAAGGAGGCAGAGACUGUUUGUUUGGAUGUAACGAUCAGUCCUGGAGUCUGUACUGUUCUGAUGAUGGUUACUCUGUCUGGCACAAUAAGAUAUGGACAGAUCUCCCCUCCUCCUCCUCCUCCUCCUCCUCCUCCUCCGUCUCUAACAGAGUAGCAGUGUAUGUGGACUGUCCUGCUGGCUCUCUGUCCUUCUACAGAGUCUCCUCUGACUCUCUGAUCCACCUCCACACCUUCAACACCACAUUCACUCAACCUCUUUAUCGUGGGUUCUUCAUCUGGCCUGGUUCCUCAGUGUCUCUGUGUUGAGUGUAGCAGAGAGAGUCUCCUCCUGUUAGAGAUCAGUCCAGUCCAGGAUCACAGCAGCUGAUGUUAUUUAGUACCAACCUGAUCUCUGGCUGGUUUUAACUGCAGAGUGUAAACCCAACAUGUUUUUGUUGUCGACCACUUUAUCUGUUCAGUGCUGUUUUGAUGUGUCUUUCACUGGAGGAGGAGGCACCACUUAUCAUCCACUUACAGAGCAGUCUUGAGAUCAGGCAGUUUCACACCACAACUCAUUUGACCUCAAAGACUCUCAAGAUGUUAACAACCCCAGUGUAAACCCCUAGUCUCCCCACCAGUCAAUUAGAACUGUAGAACCUUUCAGAUGAGAGGUGGAAUGUCUUCAAGAACCUCGAGAACGUCCAGCUGCCUUCAUAUAAAACUGAGAACGUGACACUUACUGUUCAUGAAAUGAAAAGUAUUAAAGGUUUUCUGUGUGGAGUUUGCAUGUUCUCCCAGUGCCUGUGUGGGUUCUCUCUGGGUACUCCGGCUUCCUCCCACUGUCCAAAGACAUGCAGGACUCAUGGGGGUUUUACUAUCCAGUCUACAUGUGUCUUGUGGACUUGGAGAAGACCUAUGACCAUGUUCUACAAGGGACCUUGUAGGGGGUACCAGGGCUGCUUGUGAUAUUCAUGGACAGGAUGUCAAGGUGAAGCCAAGCCAACCCUAACCUAUAGUCCUGAGCUCUGGGGAGUGACCAAAGAUGAGAUCAUGGAUACCAGAAGUGGUAGUUUCCUCCACAGGGUGCCUGGGCUUCGCUUUAGAGAUAGAAUGAUGAGUUUGGACAAGGAGAGAGCUCAGAGUAGAGAUGCUAUAUUGUAUCUAAAGGAGCCAGUUGAGGUGGUUCGUGCAUCUGAUCAGGAUGCCUCCAGGGUGCCUUCCUUCAGAGGAUUUCCAGACACCCAAUUGAGAGGAGACCCAAGACAGACCCAGAACUCGCUGGAGAGAUUACAUAUCCCAUCUGACCUGGGACCUCAGGAUCCCUCAGGAGGAGCUGGAAAAUGUUGCUGGGGAGAUGGAAGUCUGGAAUAGUUUGUUUAGCCUGCUGCCACUGUGACCUGACCCCAGAUAAGAUGGACGGAUGGGUUUAGGCAAAACCUAAUAAAUUAUCUUCAUUUUUAUAAGUUUGUUGUCGUGAAAUUCUGAGUUUUCUCAUUAAGAAUGUUUACAGUGUUUGUUUAAAGAACACACACACCACAGAAGUCAGUGAAACAAAGUGCAAAAGUCUCAUCCUGCAGAAACUUUAUAACAUCAGAUUUCCAUCAUGAAAUAUAAACACACACAGACAUCUUUGUUCUAAUGCUACAUCUUCCCUCUCAUCGUCCCCUUUCAAAAUAAAACAAUUAUUAUCUCUGUUCUGCAAAAACUCUAAAGACACAGAAAAAAUAGAUUUACACCUGAAAUCAGAGCCAGAAGAGGAGGAACAGAGUUUGUGCUUUCAGUGCAGUAAAGACAAUUAGAGUUCAGUUAGUAUUCAGUCAGUGCCCUGGUUCAGUCUGUUCAUGUGUAUAUAUACUGUAUGUAAAACAUCUGCAUUCUGCAUCAAACCACAGUUAAAGGAGAACUCUGGUGUUUGGCUGAUCUGGGAGGAUUUUAAUGGAUCAGGUUGUUGUGGGUUUUAGUAUCUGAGGAUCAGGUCACAUCGAAUCCAUUCUCCAGUUCAAACUGAGAAAAUAAAGAGAUUAAAAACUAAAUCAAAGCUCAAACUCUGGUGUGUGUGUGGGAGCUGUGGCUACCGGUGGACUCCUUUCUGUGAAAGGAGGGUGUGGAUUGAUUAACUUUGACUUACCUGUGUUGGCUUUGCACUAGUGUGUGCUGAUUGUAGUUUAUCCUGGUCCCUUGGUUAUUUUCUUCCGUUUGAGCACCAGUGUCUUUCAUUUGUGAAUAAACUCAAUUUUUUUGGUUACACAUUGA